AGGCUUGUCUGCGACCUCUGAGAGGUCAACGACGCUUGGUCUCGUCUGGGGUCUAGAUUCCGGUCGUGACAAAUACCUGUUUCAACUCAUAUCGCAUCCUUCUCAUCUCGAGGUCCUAAUUCUGUUGCCCCUGCAAUACUUAAGCCGGAUAUAGCAGCUCCAGGAGUCGAUAUAUAGGCUGCUAUUCCUCCUGAUGAAACUCCGUACAAGUUUGAUUCAGGAACAUCCAUGGCAGCUCCUCACAUUUCUGGCAUUGUCGCAUUGCUCAAGUCCCUGCACCCACAUUGGUCUCCAGCUGCUAUCAAGUCUGCACUUGUCACAACAGCAUGGCAAACGGACCCUCAUUUCCGGGGAACCAAUUAUAGCUAAGGGAAUACAGAUAAGAUUGCUGAUCCAUUUGAUUUCGGUGGUGGACUCAGUGAAUGCAAAUGAUCCUAGCCUAGUCUAUGAUAUGGGAGAGUCUAACUAUGUUUUUAAUUAUUUGUACACUAGUGCCAUCAGUAGAAUCACUAACAGAUUUGUUACUUGUGCAAACAAUUCUUGAUUUCAUUCUUCCUUGUUUAACAAUACCAAGUCUCGGAAAAUAAGUGUCACCAACGUUGGACUAGUGAACUCCCAAUAUAAGGCUAUCAUUGAGCAUUACCAUUCAUUUAAUGCCUGAAACUUUGAUAUUCAAUUCCAGCAGUGGCUUCUAUGCAAGAAAUAUCAGAAAUGAGCAU
Molecule: non-coding RNA, 719 nt
Organism: Solanum lycopersicum (tomato)
Lineage: Eukaryota; Viridiplantae; Streptophyta; Magnoliopsida; Solanales; Solanaceae
Source: RefSeq, a predicted model, not a curated record